AAGGCACUCUGGGAAUGAGGUUCAGGA
This 27-nucleotide non-coding RNA is filed under the name Mus musculus (house mouse). Lineage: Eukaryota; Metazoa; Chordata; Mammalia; Rodentia; Muridae. The record is from RNAcentral.